AAGGUCCAUGAGGGCAGCCUCCUCUGUUGAAAAGAGGGGAAAACAGGAAAAAAGUUAUAUAACAAUGUAAGAAAAACUUCAUUCUGUUAUACUGAUUUAUGACCAGAUCAUUUACUGUAACUGAUUACUAAAAGUAAAACUGCAUGUUACCAGGACAGUGUAUGACUUUAAAGAUGCAUUCAACUACCAAAGUUAACAAUUCUGUUUCAGCUUCAGCAGAAGGGGAAAAAAAAGAAAAAGAAAGAAAGACACCGGAAAACACGCUUGCGCAGCAAGGAACCUGAGAACUCCACGGAUCAAAAUCUCUGAAAACAAGAUUUGCAAGUCAAUUCAGAAUUAGGAAAGUAAAAAAUCAUCAAACAUCAGAUAAUAAUCAAC
RNAcentral lists this unclassified non-coding RNA (378 nucleotides) under Hevea brasiliensis (rubber tree). The record is from RNAcentral. Lineage: Eukaryota; Viridiplantae; Streptophyta; Magnoliopsida; Malpighiales; Euphorbiaceae.